Molecule: small RNA, 127 nt
Filed under: Marmota monax (woodchuck)
Lineage: Eukaryota; Metazoa; Chordata; Mammalia; Rodentia; Sciuridae
Source: RNAcentral
GCCAGGUGCGGUGGCCCACACCUGUAAUCCCAGCAGCUCAGGAGGCUGAGGCAGGAGGAUCGCGAAUUUGAAGCCAGCCUCAAGAACUUAGUGAGGCCCUAAGUAACUCAGUGAGACCCUGUCUCUA